GGGAAUGUGGCUCAGUGGUAGAGUGCAGGCCUAGAAUGCAUGAAGUCUUAGGUUCCAUUCCUUAGUACCA
Molecule: non-coding RNA, 70 nt
Organism: Dipodomys ordii (Ord's kangaroo rat)
Lineage: Eukaryota; Metazoa; Chordata; Mammalia; Rodentia; Heteromyidae
Source: Rfam